Molecule: long non-coding RNA, 8364 nt
Filed under: Brassica rapa (field mustard)
Lineage: Eukaryota; Viridiplantae; Streptophyta; Magnoliopsida; Brassicales; Brassicaceae
Description: long non-coding RNA (BRAP_LNC001692)
Source: RNAcentral
GCCGUAGCAGCGCUGCACAUGAGUGGACUGUUGCAGGCUAUGCCACAGGACUGCCCACCCUUUGACAGGUACUGCUGAUGAUACUCCUCAGCUCUGUAGAAUUUCUUAGCUGGUAGAAUCUCAGUCAUGAUCUUACUCUCCAUUUGUUUCUGGUGACGUUCCAUUGACUCCACCGCUAGUUUCUCCUGCUCAGGUGUGUAGAAGUAUAUCCCUGAUCUGUAUUGGGUUCCCACAUCUUUUCCCUGAUCACACUUUUAAGUCAUUAGCCACGGUAAAAAAUAGUCAAGGGAUAAUUUCACUACAUAGAUAUGUUAUUAUAAUAAGUAUUGUUCUCUAUCUAAAGUCUUAAAACUUUAAAAAUUUAGCAACUUCAACGUAAAAAGUUUAAAUCUUUGGACCAAGUUAAGAGAAACCCAUAAUGUACCUGGCGAUUCAAGGUGGUGGGGUCAUGUCUAGACCAGAAGACAUCAAGCAGAGACUCAAAGUUGCACUCUUUGGGAUCAUACUGAACCCUGACAACCUCUGCAUGGUUCGUUGUGUUCGUGCAGACAUCCUCGUAUGAAGGAUUGUGGAGGAACCCUUGGGUGUAUCCAACCUCCGUAUGAUUCACACCGGAGACUCUCUGAAACGCCAGCUCCACGCCCCAGAAGCAUCCAGCGGCGAACUGUGCAAACUCAUUUCCCGGCGCCGGAACGUCAUUGUCGUUUCCCUGAGUGAUAGCAGAAAGAUUCAUCGCUAAGUUUUCUAGAGAGAUUAUUAGAGUUUAUGUAUAUUUUUUUGAGAAUGGAGUUUAUGUAUUUGCAUCUAGAUACACUCCAUACAUGACCUAUAUAUACCACCUGUAUAGCUAACCAUGGAGUGUAUAUACUAUGUGUUUCCGUCCAGAUACACGAUCUAUAAAUACCACAUGCCAUAGUUAUCAUUUAAGACGAUAUUAGAGUGUAUAUGCUAUGUAAUUCCAUCCAGAUACACUCCAUUCAUGAUCUAACUAUAGAUAUCACGUGCUAGAUACAGUUAAAAAGCAUUAGAGUGUAUAUCCUUUGUAUUUCCGGCCAGAUACACUGCAUACAUGAACUAUAAUUACCACCUGUAUUUUUUUUUUUGAACUAGAACAACAGCUGUCUUGUUUUUUUUAUCUAGAAUAACACCUGUAUUGUUUUUUUUUGACCGAAAGACUAAUAACACCUGUAUUGUUAACAUUUUUUUUUUGUUAAGUAUGUGAAUUUCAUUAACUUAAUAAUGAGGCAUAGAGAUACAAUGGACUUCGACUGAUCUAAUCCUAUUGAAUCUAAGUCGCUAAGUCAACAAGACAAAGCAAUGGAGCCAUAGUAAGCCACAAAAAAAGUAAAAAGACUCACUAAGACUAAGAAGGCUCAGUCACAACCAUGAGGCUGCGAGAAAGCUUAGCUAGUUUAAUAGAUCCUAAGACAACCAUUUAGCUAACAGGAGACCAGAGAGAAGAUCUUGAAGUCGGCACCUGCAUCAAGAUCACUCGGGUCAGUAGAGAAUCGCAACCGGAGAACAGUCCGAGGAGCCGCAGACUAUCCCGAAGGCGACAUCAAAAGAAGGACAGGCGAAGCAGGAUUGGCAAGCCCUGGUCCGGCCAUCGCAAGCAAAUGAAGUCCACUCCAGACGUUGCUAUCUCAAGAAACUGCUACACCAUACUCUGAGAAUCCUAGCCGAUGUAGAGAAACCGGUAUAUGAAGCUAAGGUGAGUACUUGCAGGUGGAAGCAGAGGUUUAAACGGCUGGACUCUGGUCCCACCACACAAGCAGAGCACGAGGGAUUCCGGCCACAGAACACCAAGAGAGGCAGAGGACAACAACCAGCUUCCUUCUGAAGCUUGAAGAACAGAGGAACAAGAGCUCCUUACAGCAGGCGAAACAGGAGGAGAGACCCAUCAUAGGAAGUCAGAUGAGCAGAGUAACGGCACGAAACUCCAAUCCAACCCAAUCCCAAACAGAUCGAAACCAAAAGAAACACCAGGUGGUUGUCGAGGAACCAUUACCGAAAAAGAAGUCCCCGACGGUGAGCCUCGAACCGUCUUUUCAACUUGGAACAAGAGGGGGAAGUUCUUACCAAAGCAUCGCAAGCGGAGACAGGGGAGAGACAGAGGAGGCAGUAUACUGACCAGAACGGCGAAGGCAGCGACGCAAGGCCACUCCGGCGAACCCUCCAGGAGAGAUCUGACCCAGAUCUACUCCGGGCGAAACCCUAGAUCUACCAGUUUGACGACGCCUCCAGCUCAGAUCCGGCUCACCACGACAUCGCCAUCUCUCCAGGGAAGCUGAGGACACCCACAGCCACCGGUUUGAAUCGCCUGGUCCGGCCGCAACCCAGCGAUAAACAGAGGAGAUGAAGCAAGGAGGAAGUGGAAGAGACCGAAGCAUGAGAGGGCAGAGGCUAGGAAACGGUGACGAAACGGGGUGGCGACCGACGGGUAGAGACCCUCCGUCGGCCACCGGAACGAGAGGCAAGAGGAGAUGUCGAAGCGGAGAGUUGGUGGGGAGAGAAGAUCGAGAGAAAAGACUCUCUCACCUCUCUCUAACUUCUGCCAAACUCUAAUUCACUAUUGUUAACAUUAAAAUGAACAUUGGAGUGUAUAUACUCUGUCUGUCCGUCCAGAUACACUACGAACUAUAACGAGAGAGGUGCAGCGAAACGGAACACGGGUCUUAGUAUUACUGUUCGUUGCGUUCGCGUUUUGGUAGCGAUCGCGAUUAGAAACGGCGAGUUUGAAUCGCUAUGGUAACUGAACUUGGAAAGUGACAAAGGUCCAGCGUAUGCUAAGUUGAACCAAGAAGUUUAGGUGGAAAUCUAACCAAUAUUGUUUAUAUCUCAACUGAUUAUUUAUUUGUCAUCCAAAUGGAAAAAAAAAAAUAGUAUGAAACAAAAUUUAAUAUGCAACUGAAUCGAUCAUGCACCAGUUUAAUGUAAUCAAAAUGAAAUUAAUUUUGUAAACCGAAAUUAAAUUGUUCAUAUGUAUAGAUAACUAGAGAAAACUUUAAAUAUAUUUUAUUAUCAUUUCUUACAAUAUAUUUAUCCAAAAUUACACACCACCAACAUUUUUGGUUUCUGCUUAGUCAUAACUCUUCAAGCCAAUUGAACCAAAACAACAAAAAUAUAUCAAACCAGGCCGAAUACUCACUUUAUUCACUCUCGUCGUACGCAUUUAAAUUAGAGAAUAUAUUUAUAUACUAUGUCUUAAAAAAAAGAAAAAAAAAAUAUAUAUAUAUAUAUAUAUAUAUUUACACCAGUAUUAUAUGCUCAAUUCUUUGUAGGAGCACAUUUUAUAUUUAUCAAUAGCAUUUAAAUGGUGCAGAUACGAGUCUUACUGCACUCAGAGCAUGAGCAGCAGCGAACCUUGCAAUUCCCGAUUUCCAAUGUUUUUUUUUAUUAUUUUAAUUUGUUUUUUUCGUUUGAUUUAAAAAAAAAAAUAUAAACGAAUCUAUCGCGGGCCGCCACGUGUCGUGGGGUCCGCAGAACAGUAACGAGACGAUAUCACUCCAGCGAACCUGCACGAGCCGGGUUCAUUAAAAUUUGAUUAUUUUAAUAUUUUUCUGCCUCAAAAAUCGUGUGAACUCUAGUCUUGAUUCUUCAAUGCGGAUGGUCUCAAUUCAUUAAGGCUCUAACCUUCGACCACCCUAUUGCCGAGCUCUACGGCAUCAUCGUAACUGACAUUGAAGCUGUUGCUUUAUCCUUUGAUUUUGUUUCUUUUACUUGGAUCUCUCACGAGUCACGAGAGAAACAUAGAUGCGGAUUUAUUGGCUAAACAUGUUUUGUCUGCUGAGUUUAAGGCGCUGAGUUAGCCUUAGAGCACCAUUAACCUAGCACCCCAAGUGGGGUGCUUAUUUUAUUUUUAUUUUUUAGUUUUUUGUCUGAUUUUUUUUUUAAAAAAAAAAAUUAAAAACGAGCCAAUCACGGACCGCCACGUGUUAGUGGGGCCCGCGAAACAGUACAAGAUCCAACAAAACCCGACGCUUAAUCUGGCGUCUUUGACGUCGCUGCUUCGUCUUUUGCCGUGGAGCCCACCCUUUAGCACUUCUCUAAGCGUCCCCGUUAAUCCUGCUCUUAAUGGCCUCACCAAACAAUGGUUAAAAACUUAAAAUAUUGAAUGAAUGAAAGUAAGUGUUUCAAAAGAAAAAUAGUGUAGAUAUACUUGGUUUUUUGUCAAAUAGAACAUAUGUGUUACUUAUUGUGAAUGAUUAAGAUUAAAAUCUACUAAGAUAGAAGAUAUUUUACUAAUUAAGAACGAUUGAAUAAUUAGAAAUCUUAUUCCUCAUCAAAAGAGCAGAGCUAUCGACAAAGUCAUUUGAAACCGCAUCCUAUCUCUGAACUACUCCACAACUCCAAGGCUGCACGGCUUACUCAGACGUUGGUAUCUUAUCCCCGGCAACUGAUAGCUAAGGCAUUAUCUUUCAUUGUUUGCUCUUUCCAUCUGUAAAUGACUAUAUUGUUUUAAAUUACUCAAUAAAUUUGAAAUUUCAAGAAAAUAGUUAGAAAGCUUAAAAAAAACAUACACAUUUUUAGGAAACAUACACUUUUGUGUUCGCAUUCAGUUUGAAGUUUUCAAAAAAGUUGUUAACAUUUCUACAUCUUAUUAUGCACUGAGAAAUACAAAUCAACAACACACACAAGCAAACAAACAAAAAAGGAUCAGUUGCAGCCUUGCAGGUGUAUCUACUAACUUAGGCUCUUCUUGAGCUAUCGGAGAAGGAACAGUUGCAAGUAAAUCUACUAACUCAGGUUCUUCUUUCAGCAUCAAAGAAUCCAUUUUGAUAGAUCAAUAUGUGAAAGAAAGGAUGGGACUAGUGAUUUUCUUAAAGUGUUGUAUUGUUGUUGAUGGUGAAGCAAAUGGCAAUAAGAAACCUUAUUCAGCAUAUUAUUUUUUCAUCCAUAAGAUUCGCUCAAAUCUAAACAAUCAAUAAUUCAACAACAUCAAUAGACAUCUUUAUAGUCUCUAACAUGAAACAAGAAAGUAACUUGUUACACUUAUUAGGGAUUUGGUUGAUGUUCAUAUUGUGCAACAAACAAGUCUCUAACAUCCUCUGUUUUGGGAGAGGAAACUCAGCAUUUUUAAGCCAUAGCAGCGCUGCACAUGAGUGGACUGUUACAGGCUAUGCCACUGCAGGACUGCCCACCCUUUGACAGGUACUGCUGAUGAUACUCCUCAGCUCUAUAGAAUUUCUUAGCUGGUAGAAUCUCAGUCAUGAUCUUACUCUCCAUUUGUUUCUGGUGACGUUCCAUUGACACCGCCGCUUGUUUCUCCUGCUCAGGUGUGUAGAAGUAUAUCCCUGAUCUGUAUUGGGUUCCAACAUCUUUUCCCUGAUAACAGUUCAAGUCAUUAGUCACGGUAAACUACAUGUAUAUCAUGUUACACUUCACAUCAUCAAAUGUUACACAUUCGAUUUGGUAUUGCAAAUGAAUUGAAUAACUAGCAGAUUAAAAAAAAAAAUAAGCAUUGAUUUUUUUGUGUUAUGUUUUCAGUUUUAAGUUUUUAAAAAAGUUGUAACAUUUCCACAUCUUUAUUAUGAAAAUCUUAGAAUUACAAAUCAACAACACAAAAAAAAAGUCUUAAAUCGUAUAAAGUACCUGGCGAUUCAAGGUGGUGGGGUCAUGUCUAGACCAGAAGACAUCAAGCAGAGACUCAAAGUUGCACUCUUUGGGAUCAUACUGAACCCUGACAACCUCUGCAUGGUUCGUUGUGUUCGUGCAGACAUCCUCGUAUGAAGGAUUGUGGAGGAACCCUUGGGUGUAUCCAACCUCCGUAUGAGUCACACCGGAGACUCUCUGAAACGCCAGCUCCACGCCCCAGAAGCAUCCAGCGGCGAACUGUGCAAACUCAUUUCCCGGCGCCGGAACGUCAUUAUCGUUUCCCUGAGUGAUAGCAGAAAGAUUCAUCGCUAAGUUUUCUAGAGAGAUUAUUAGAGUUUAUGUAUAUUUUUUUUAGAGAAUGGAGUUUAUGUAUUUGCAUCUAGAUACACUCCAUACAUGACCUAUAUAUACCACCUGUAUAGCUAACCAUGGAGUGUAUAUACUUUGUGUUUCCGUCCAGAUACACGAUCUAUAAAUACCACAUGCCAUAGUUAUCAUUAAUUAGAGUGUAUAUGCUAUGUAAUUCCAUCCAGAUACACUCCAUUCAUGAUCUAACUAUAUUUAUCACGUGCUAGAUAAAGUUGAAAAACGUUAGAGUGUAUAUCCUUUGUAUUUCCGGCCAGAUACACUGCAUACAAGAACUAUAAUUACCACCUGUAUUUUUUUUUUGGUAAAAAAACAACACCUGUAUUGUUUUUUUUUUCUAUCUAGAAUAACACAAGUAUUGCUACCAUUAAAAAGAACAUUGGCGUGUAUAUUCAAUGUCUGUCCGUCUAGAUACACUCCAUACAUGAACUAUAACGAGAGAGAUGCGUUUUGGUAGCGAUCGCGAUUAGCAACGGGGAGUUUGAAUCGCAAUGGUCACUGAACUUGGACAGUGAAAAGUUAAGGUCCAACAUGUGUAUGCUAUUCGCUAAACUGAACCAUAUAAAGUUGAACCAAGAAGUUUAGGUCGAAAUCUAACCAAUAUAUAUAUCUCAACUGAUUUUAUUAUUUUGAGAAGACAUAGGAAAAAUUCCAUUUCUCUUGUCACUAUGGAUUCCGUAGCUUCACCGUCAAUCAACCCCUUGUUUUUUUUGCCAUGGAAACACAAAAAUAGGCUUUUCUAAAACCUAAAUCUUUCAUAUUUACGAACAUUUUAUUAAAAAAUAAAAAACUUAUUUUAUUAUUGUCAUCCAAAUGAAAAAAAAAAAUAGUGUGUCACAAAAUUUAAUAUGCAACUGAAUCGAUCAUGCACCUAGUUUAAUGUAACCGGAAUGAAUUAAUUGUAAACCGAAACUAAUUGUUUUUUUUUUUUGAGAACUCGAAAUUAAAUUGUUCAUAUCUAUAGAUACUAAAUGAUAAAUUUGUUGACAAAAAAAUGAUAAAUUUAAAUAUACUUUAUAUUUGUUUCUUACAAUAUAUUUAUCGAAAAUCACAGACAGAAUCAAACCACCAAACAUUUUUGGUUUGUGCUUAGUCAUAACUCUUCAAACCAAUUGAACCAAAACAACAAAAAUAUAUCAAGCCAGAGAAUAUAUGUACACUAUGCCUUCAAAAAAAAGAAUACAUAUAUAUACACUCCUUCUAUGUAGACGCACAUUAUAUUUAUCACUAUAAAUAUUAUACGAAAACAAUAUUUUUGAAGUAUAUAAAUGGUGUAGAUAUAUUUUUUUUUUGUUAAAUAUAAUAUGUGCUACUUAUUAUGAAUGCUUAGGAAUAAAAAAAAUAGAAGAUAUUUUAUUAAGUAUGAUUAAAUAGUUAGAAAUCUUAUUCCUGAACAAAUGAGCAGAGCUAUCGACAAAUUCAUUUGAAACCGCAUCCUAUCUCUGAACUACUCCACAACUCCACGGCUGCACUGCUUACUCAGACGUUGAUAUCUUAUCUAUGGCAAAUGAUAGCUAAAGCAUUAUGUUUCAUUUUUUGCUCUUUCCAUCUGUAAAUGACCAUAUUGUUUUAAGUUGCUCAAUAAAUUUGAAAUUUCAUGAAAAAUAGUUAGAAAACUUAAAAAUAAAAACAUACACAUUUUUCGGAAACAUACACUUUUGUGUUCGCAUUCAGUUUGAAGUUUUAAAAAAUGUUGUUAAAAUUUCCACAUCUUAUUGUGAACUGAGAAUUACAAAUCAACAACACACACAUGCUAACAAACAAAGAAGGAUCAGUUGCAGGUAAAUAUACGUAGGUUCUUCUUGAGCUAUCAAAGAAUCCAUUUUGCUAGAUCACCAUGUGAAAGAAAGGAUCAGAUUGGUGAUGUUGCGUUGUAUUGUUUGUUGAUGAUGAAGCAAAUGGCAAUAAGAAACCUUAUUCAUCAUCAUAUUAUUUUUUCAUCCAUAAGAUUCACUCAAAUCUAAACAAUCAAUAAUUCAAUAGACAUUUAUAUAGUCUCUAACAUGAAACGAAAGUAACUUGUUACACUUAUUAAGGAUUUGGUUGAUGUUCAUAUAUAUUGUGUAACAAACUCGUCUCUAAACUCCUCUAUCUUGGGAGAGGAAACUCAGCAUUUUUAAGCCGUAGCAGCGCUGCACAUGAGUGGACUAUUACAGGCUAUGCCACAGGACUGUCCACCCUUUGACAGGUACUGCUGAUGAUACUCCUCAGCUCUGUAGAAUUUCUUAGCUGGUAGAAUCUCAGUCAUGAUCUUACUCUCCAUUUGUUGCUGGUGACGUUCCAUUGACUCUGCCGCUUGUUUCUCCUGCUCAGGUGUGUAGAAGUAUAUCCCUGAUCUGUAUUGGGUUCCCACAUCUUUUCCCUGAUAACAGUUCAAGUCAUUAGCCACGGUAAAAGUAGUCA